GGAUGUGUGCCCGAAAGAUAGGGGCCACUUUGAUAGGGUGGCUGAUAGAGGUUCAAACCCUCUCACACCC
This 70-nucleotide transfer RNA is filed under the name Paramesotriton chinensis (Chinese warty newt). RNAcentral's name for it is "tRNA-Ile". It matches the Rfam family "tRNA". Rfam says of the family: Transfer RNA (tRNA) molecules are approximately 80 nucleotides in length. Their secondary structure includes four short double-helical elements and three loops (D, anti-codon, and T loops). Lineage: Eukaryota; Metazoa; Chordata; Amphibia; Caudata; Salamandridae. The record is from RNAcentral.